GAUAAACGCUGGCGGCGCACAUAAGACAUGCAAGUUGAACGGACUUAAUCGAAAUAUUUAUAUUUUGAAGCGGUUAGUGGCGGACUGGUGAGUAACGCGUAAGGAACCUGCCUAUUAGAGGGGAAUAACAGUGAGAAAUCAUUGCUAAUACCGCAUAUGCCAUAGAUAUCACAUGAUAACAGUGGGAAAGGAGCAAUCCGCUAAUAGAUGGCCUUGCGUCUGAUUAGAUAGUUGGUGGGGUAACGGCCUACCAAGUCGACGAUCAGUAGCCGGACUGAGAGGUUGAACGGCCACAUGGGGACUGAGAUACGGCCCAGACUCCUACGGGAGGCAGCAGUCGGGAAUAUUGCGCAAUGGAGGAAACUCUGACGCAGUGACGCCGCGUAUAGGAAGAAGGUUUUCGGAUUGUAAACUAUUGUCGUUAGGGAAGAGAAAGGACAGUACCUAAGGAGGAAGCUCCGGCUAACUACGUG
RNAcentral lists this ribosomal RNA (473 nucleotides) under uncultured bacterium. RNAcentral's name for it is "partial 16S ribosomal RNA". It matches the Rfam family "Bacterial small subunit ribosomal RNA", at positions 28 to 507 of the family's 1533-position model. The record is from RNAcentral.